RNAcentral lists this ribosomal RNA (500 nucleotides) under uncultured bacterium. Its description in RNAcentral is "partial 16S ribosomal RNA". It matches the Rfam family "Bacterial small subunit ribosomal RNA", at positions 30 to 523 of the family's 1533-position model. The record is from RNAcentral.
AUUGAACGCUGGCGGCAUGCCUUACACAUGCAAGUCGAACGGCAGCACGGGAGCAAUCCUGGUGGCGAGUGGCGAACGGGUGAGUAAUAUAUCGGAACGUGCCCAGUCGUGGGGGAUAACGCAGCGAAAGCUGUGCUAAUACCGCAUACGAUCUAAGGAUGAAAGCGGGGGAUCGCAAGACCUCGCGCGAUUGGAGCGGCCGAUAUCAGAUUAGCUAGUUGGGGGGGUAAAGGCCAACCAAGGCGACGAUCUGUAGCGGGUCUGAGAGGACGACCAGCCACACUGGAACUGAGACACGGUCCAGACUUCUACGGGAAGCAGCAGUGGGGAAUUUUGGACAAUGGGCGCAAGCCUGAUCCAGCAAUGCCGCGUGCAGGAUGAAGGCCUUCGGGUUGUAAACUGCUUUUGUACGGAACGAAACGGCCCUUUCUAAUACAGGGGGCUAAUGACGGUACCGUAAGAAUAAGCACCGGCUAACUACGUGCCAGCCGCCGCAGUAA